AUCGAACGCUGGCGGCAGGCUUAACACAUGCAAGUCGAGCGGGGUGAUUGUGCUUGCACUAUCACUUAGCGACGGACGGGCGAGUAAUUCAUAGGAGUCUGCCUAUUAGUGGGGGGCGACAUCUCGAAAGGGAUGCUAAUACAACAUACGUUCUACGGGAAAAAGCAGAGGAUCACUAGUGUCCUUCCGCUAAUAGAGGAGCCGAAGUCGGAUUAGCUAGUUGGGGGUGUAGAGUCCUACCAAGGCGACGAUCUGUAGCGGGUCUGAGAGGAUGAUCCGCCACACUGGGACUGAGACACGGCACAGACUCCUACGGGAGGCAGCAGUGGGGAAUAUUGGACAAUGGGCGCAAGCCUGAUCCAGCCAUACCGCGUGGGUGAAGAAGGCCUUCGGGUUGUAAAGCCCUUUUGUUGGGAAAGAAAUCCAGCCGGCUAAUACCUGGUUGGGAUGACGGUACCCAAAGAAUAAGCACCGGCUAACUUCGUGCCAGCCGCCGCCGUAA
Molecule: ribosomal RNA, 502 nt
Filed under: uncultured bacterium
Lineage: Bacteria
Description: partial 16S ribosomal RNA
Rfam family: Bacterial small subunit ribosomal RNA
Source: RNAcentral